GAAAUGCGAAAGGCAAUGCGAAUUGCAGAAUUCCGCGAAUCAUCAGAUACUUUUUGAUGAGUAUUUUGCAAAUCUAAAUGUGAUUGAUGCUGUUACGACAACAUCUCUCAUGAAAUUAGAAUGUGCGUGUACUUCAACACAACGAAGUAGUCACAUGUGUCUAUGUGAUCUCGUUGAUCGUAGAAAUACAUUAAUUGUGCACAUAGCAUGCAAAAUACUCAUCAAAAAGUAUCUGAAAUCAAACAAGAUCACCCGCUGAACUUAA
This 265-nucleotide unclassified non-coding RNA is filed under the name uncultured fungus. RNAcentral describes it as "sequence contains ITS1". The record is from RNAcentral. Lineage: Eukaryota; Fungi.